Nomascus leucogenys (northern white-cheeked gibbon) is the source of this 104-nucleotide small nucleolar RNA. RefSeq annotates it as small nucleolar RNA U13. Lineage: Eukaryota; Metazoa; Chordata; Mammalia; Primates; Hylobatidae. The record is from RefSeq and is a predicted model, not a curated record.
AUCCUCUGGUAGUUUGUAAGUGUGAUGAUUGAGUAUUCACAUGCAUGUGUGAGAUGUGUCACUCCCAAACCUUAUUGCAACAUGGGCACAUUACCCAUCUGACA